This 250-nucleotide ribosomal RNA is filed under the name uncultured bacterium. RNAcentral describes it as "partial 16S ribosomal RNA". It matches the Rfam family "Bacterial small subunit ribosomal RNA", at positions 355 to 598 of the family's 1533-position model. The record is from RNAcentral.
UCGAGAAUUUUUCACAAUGGGCGAAAGCCUGAUGGAGCGACGCCGCGUGGGGGAUGAAUGGCUUCGGCCCGUAAACCCCUGUCAUUCGGGAUCAAAUCUGGCAACCUAAUACGUUGUCAGUUGAUAGUACUGAAAGAGGAAGGGACGGCUAACUCUGUGCCAGCAGCCGCGGUAAUACAGAGGUCCCAAGCGUUGUUCGGAUUUACUGGGCGUAAAGGGAGCGUAGGUGGCAUUCUAAGUCUGAUGUGAA